UGGGGAAUAUUGGACAAUGGGCGCAAGCCUGAUCCAGCCAUGCCGCGUGAGUGAUGAAGGCCCUAGGGUUGUAAAGCUCUUUCGCCAGGGACGAUAAUGACGGUACCUGGAUAAGAAGCCCCGGCUAACUUCGUGCCAGCAGCCGCGGUAAUACGAAGGGGGCUAGCGUUGUUCGGAAUCACUGGGCGUAAAGCGCACGUAGGCGGAUCUUUAAGUCAGGGGUGAAAUCCCGAGGCUCAACCUCGGAACUGCCUUUGAUACUGGAGGUCUCGAGUCCGGGAGAGGUGAGUGGAACUGCGAGUGUAGAGGUGAGAUUCGUAGAUAUUCGCAAGAACACCAGUGGCGAAGGCGGCUCACUGGCCCGGUACUGACGCUGAGGUGCGAAAGCGUGGGGAGCAAAACAGGAUUAGAUACCCUGGUAGUCCACGCCGUAAAACUAUGGAUGCUAGCCGUUGGGCAGCUUGCUGUUCAGUGGCGCAGCUAACGCUUUAAGCAUCCCGCCUGGGGGAGUACGGUCGCAAGAUUAAAAACUCAAAGGAAUUGAC
RNAcentral lists this ribosomal RNA (545 nucleotides) under uncultured bacterium. Its description in RNAcentral is "partial 16S ribosomal RNA". It matches the Rfam family "Bacterial small subunit ribosomal RNA", at positions 355 to 914 of the family's 1533-position model. The record is from RNAcentral.